UAAACUGAAGAGUUUGAUCAUGGCUCAGAUUGAACGCUGGCGGCAUGCCUAACACAUGCAAGUCGAACGGAAACGAUGCUAGCUUGCUAGCAGGCGUCGAGUGGCGGACGGGUGAGUAAUG
This 121-nucleotide ribosomal RNA is filed under the name Piscirickettsiaceae bacterium. RNAcentral describes it as "partial 16S ribosomal RNA". It matches the Rfam family "Bacterial small subunit ribosomal RNA", at positions 1 to 115 of the family's 1533-position model. Lineage: Bacteria; Pseudomonadati; Pseudomonadota; Gammaproteobacteria; Thiotrichales; Piscirickettsiaceae. The record is from RNAcentral.